This 521-nucleotide ribosomal RNA is filed under the name uncultured bacterium. Its description in RNAcentral is "bacterial SSU rRNA". It matches the Rfam family "Bacterial small subunit ribosomal RNA", at positions 7 to 518 of the family's 1533-position model. The record is from RNAcentral.
GAGAGUUGAUCAUGGCUCAGGAUGAACGCUAGCUACAGGCUUAACACAUGCAAGUCGAGGGGCAGCAUGAUCAAAGCUUGCUUGAUUGAUGGCGACCGGCGCACGGGUGAGUAACGCGUAUCCAACCUUCCCCUUAGUAGGGCAUAGCCCGGCGAAAGUCGGAUUAAUACCCUAUGUUAUUCGUCGAGGACAUCUGAAGUGAAUCAAAGAUUUAUCGCUAAGGGAUGGGGAUGCGUCUGAUUAGGUUGUUGGCGGGGUAACGGCCCACCAAGCCAUCGAUCAGUAGGGGUUCUGAGAGGAAGGUCCCCCACAUUGGUACUGAGACACGGACCAAACUCCUACGGGAGGCAGCAGUGAGGAAUAUUGGUCAAUGGGCGAGAGCCUGAACCAGCCAAGUAGCCGUGCAGGAUGACUGCCCUAUGGGUUGUAAACUGCUUUUAUACGGGGAUAAAGUGAGGUAUGCAUACCUUUUUGUAGGUACCGUAUGAAUAAGGACCGGCUAAUUCCGUGCCAGCCGCCGC